AUGCAGAAUUCAGUGAAUCAUCGAAUCUUUGAACGCACCUUGCACCCUUUGGUAUUCCGAAGGGKACGCCCGUKUUGARUGUCAUU
This 86-nucleotide ribosomal RNA is filed under the name uncultured fungus. RNAcentral's name for it is "partial 5.8S ribosomal RNA". It matches the Rfam family "5.8S ribosomal RNA", at positions 72 to 154 of the family's 154-position model. From Rfam's summary of the family: 5.8S ribosomal RNA (5.8S rRNA) is a component of the large subunit of the eukaryotic ribosome. Lineage: Eukaryota; Fungi. The record is from RNAcentral.